Cryptomeria japonica (Japanese cedar) is the source of this 1076-nucleotide long non-coding RNA. RefSeq lists it as uncharacterized. The transcript has 5 exons. The record is from RefSeq and is a predicted model, not a curated record. Lineage: Eukaryota; Viridiplantae; Streptophyta; Pinopsida; Cupressales; Cupressaceae.
CAUUACUUGAUAUUUUGUAGGGCUUAUCAGUGGCUGAGAUGUCCCAAGUUGAUGAUAUCAUGCUUUCAGCCAUUGACUUUGGCCAAGAUAGCUAUGCAACACCAUUUAGAUUUAUAUAUUUUUUACUUAAGUGAUAUAUUAAAUACAUGCUCUUUUCCGUUAUGUUAAUUUUUUUCCAUUAGUUUACCCCACCUGCCUCGAGGACAUCUCGUUUGAGAAAGCCAUCCUCUAGCACUUUGAGGCAGAAAAAAAUAUCCUCUCGGACACCCAAACGACAAAAGAAACAUAUGGGGUUUACGGAAUUAAUGAAUGCACCUGAUGUCGAUGAGGUUCAACAGAGGGAAGAGGUGAUAUCUUCAUAUUCACUUUGGAUUGCAUUCUUGCUUGUUCAAAAUAACUAAAUCCUUUUAUGUCAAUAUCAUAUGUUAUCAUUUUUCAUACAGGAAAUGGUAAUAGCUGCAUUAGAUUCGACAAGGCCUCCUAAGGUUACAGGAGAACUAUACGAGGCUUCGGUGUGCAUUUUUUCUACAUAUGUUAAAAAUAUUUGUUUUAUCUAGUUUCUCAACAACUUUGGGUUAUUAACUUGUAUGAUUGUCUUUAAACUAUUAUAGGCCCCUUGCAAACUUCCUAAUGUUAUUCUACCAUUCCAUUUCAGUAGAAGUCCUACACGUAUAUUAUGGGAUCCAACACGACCAAGGCAAAAGGAAAUGGUCGUAACUGAUUCAUCUGUGACUUUGCCUUCUACGACCACAACACAUCCAUCUGAGGCUCCGUUAUAGCCUCCUGUAGGACAUCCCACAGAUCCUCAGCCUCACCGAAUUGUAGAAGACAAAGAUGAGCCACGUACUGCUUCGAAGAGGCUCGAUUUUGAUGAUCCGCCACAGUCAUAGAUAUAGAUAGAGACAUAUAGUUAUAUUUGUGGUCAUUGAAGGGCCAAUUUUUUAUAUAUUCGACAUUUGUAUAUGUAUAUAUCGACUUUGACAGACAUGGCACAUGCCACAUUUUUGUAACUAUUAUUGAUUUGGCAUCUAUGCCAUUUUUUGAUAUAUGUACAUGAUUAUUGUUCAUUUUGAUAU